AUCACUUUUCAGCCUUUUGGCUAAGAUGAAGUGUAGUAUCUGCUCUUAUCAGUUUAAUAUUUGCUGUAUUCUCUAAAUGUGAAAGUGAUAUUAAACAGAUUUAUUUCAGAACACAAUGCUGGAAUAGGAGCUUGCUCCACACAUCAAUCUAGUAUUGCAGUAUCUCCAAAAAUAGUGCCCUUAUU
This is a small nuclear RNA of Neoarius graeffei (lesser salmon catfish), 185 nucleotides long. RefSeq annotates it as U2 spliceosomal RNA. Lineage: Eukaryota; Metazoa; Chordata; Actinopteri; Siluriformes; Ariidae. The transcript has a single exon. The record is from RefSeq and is a predicted model, not a curated record.